Molecule: transfer RNA, 69 nt
Filed under: Marmota monax (woodchuck)
Lineage: Eukaryota; Metazoa; Chordata; Mammalia; Rodentia; Sciuridae
Rfam family: tRNA
About the family: Transfer RNA (tRNA) molecules are approximately 80 nucleotides in length.
Source: Rfam by way of RNAcentral
GGAAUUGUGGCUCAGCGGUAGAGCGCUCACCUACCAUGUGUGAGGCUCUGGGUUCUGUCCUCAGCACCA